Molecule: ribosomal RNA, 253 nt
Filed under: Amycolatopsis balhimycina
Lineage: Bacteria; Bacillati; Actinomycetota; Actinomycetes; Pseudonocardiales; Pseudonocardiaceae
Also listed under: 3 other names
Description: partial 16S ribosomal RNA
Rfam family: Bacterial small subunit ribosomal RNA
Source: RNAcentral
UACGUAGGGUGCGAGCGUUGUCCGGAUUUAUUGGGCGUAAAGAGCUCGUAGGCGGUUUGUCGCGUCGGCCGUGAAAUCUCCACGCUUAACGUGGAGCGUGCGGUCGAUACGGGCAGACUUGAGUUCGGUAGGGGAGACUGGAAUUCCUGGUGUAGCGGUGAAAUGCGCAGAUAUCAGGAGGAACACCGGUGGCGAAGGCGGGUCUCUGGGCCGAUACUGACGCUGAGGAGCGAAAGCGUGGGGAGCGAACAGG